RNAcentral lists this unclassified non-coding RNA (200 nucleotides) under soil metagenome. RNAcentral's name for it is "partial contains internal transcribed spacer 2 and large subunit ribosomal RNA". The record is from RNAcentral.
GUGUGCUGCUCACCUUAAAAGAAUUAGCUGGACAUGUCGCAUGACUUGGUUCUACUUGGCGUAAUAAGUAUUUCGCUGAGGACAUCCCUUGGGGUGGCCAGGACUUGUGGUGGACGUCUGCUUUCUAACCUCAUAGUCUCUCGGGACAUGACUUUUUAUGAUCUGGCCUCAAAUCAGGUAGGACUACCCGCUGAACUUAA